AUAUCAAUAAGCGGAGGAAAAGAAACUAACAAGGAUUCCCCUAGUAACUGCGAGUGAAGCGGGAAAAGCUCAAAUUUAAAAUCUGGCGGUCUUUGGCCGUCCGAGUUGUAGUCUGGAGAAGUGCUUUCCGCGCUGGACCGUGUAUAAGUCUCUUGGAACAGAGCGUCAUAGAGGGUGAGAAUCCCGUCUUUGACACGGACUACCAGUGCUUUGUGAUGCGCUCUCAAAGAGUCGAGUUGUUUGGGAAUGCAGCUCAAAAUGGGUGGUGAAUUCCAUCUAAAGCUAAAUAUUGGCGAGAGACCGAUAGCGCACAAGUA
Molecule: ribosomal RNA, 317 nt
Filed under: uncultured Fomes
Lineage: Eukaryota; Fungi; Basidiomycota; Agaricomycetes; Polyporales; Polyporaceae
Description: partial large subunit ribosomal RNA
Rfam family: Eukaryotic large subunit ribosomal RNA
Source: RNAcentral